UACGUAGGUGGCAAGCGUUGUCCGGAUUUACUGGGCGUAAAGGAUGCGUAGGCGGAUGUUUAAGUGAGAUGUGAAAUACCCGAGCUCAACUUGGGUGCUGCAUUUCAAACUGGAUAUCUAGAGUGCGGGAGAGGAAAGCGGAAUUCCUAGUGUAGCGGUGAAAUGCGUAGAGAUUAGGAAGAACACCAGUGGCGAAGGCGGCUUUCUGGACCGUAACUGACGCUGAGGCAUGAAAGCGUGGGGAGCAAACAGG
RNAcentral lists this ribosomal RNA (253 nucleotides) under uncultured bacterium. RNAcentral describes it as "partial 16S ribosomal RNA". It matches the Rfam family "Bacterial small subunit ribosomal RNA", at positions 524 to 776 of the family's 1533-position model. The record is from RNAcentral.